AUGGGAAAAACCAUCACCUGGGGCCAGACCGAGGGACUCGAGGAGGCUCCGCUACCAGAGAGGAAAAGACAAACAGAAAUAAAGCCAGAAAAGCCAAAAAGCCCAUUUUUACGACCUGUUUUAGCAAGGAAGGGGAAACACCUUCCUGCCCAGGACGAGGGGGGCUCUUUGAAGCCCCCCAGGCUUCACCCAGGGCGGGGGGGCUGCAGGGUGCCUCAUCUGCAGAGCAGGAGGGAGCUCUGGUGGCUUUUCACGGGGGACAAAAUUGGCAAAUUUAGGGCAUAUUUUAGCUUUUCAAUGCAGCAAGGGCUUCACCCCUGCACGCAGGUAUCGCUGCUCACCGCAGAGGCCAGGGCAAGCUCCGAGCUGGGUGUUGGGCUCAUGGCUCUUCUCUGGGACACGUCCCUUCUCUGGGACACGUCCCCAAAAGGUGCCGGUUGCGUCACCCCCCCGGAGCCCCCAGCACGCCCCGUGUCCCCCCCCUGCAGAGCUGCAAAAGCAAACGGCCGAGCAAGAGCGAGCGCGUCCGUCUGUCCAGGGCUCCACUCCCUCCUGGGCUUCGGGGCAACCAUGGCCAGGGUCGGGGUGGCCACCGUCCUCUGCCUCGCUGUGCUGCUGCUGCCCACCGCCCCCAGCCCCUGCCCACCCCCACACCCCGGCAACACCACGGCAUCCAAGGUAGGAGAGACCUGGGUCCCCCGGGGAUGCCCCGCUCCUGCAGUGAGUUGGUGGGUGCUCUGCUCAGCCCCACUGUCCCCUGGGAAAGGGGGGAACCCUCCCUUGCCCACCCACACCCCCCCCGGCAUACCCACAGAGGCACCCUCACCAAAAAUGAGCCGGAAACAUUUUCUUUCCAAAAUGCCUCCAAUUAUGCAGUUUCCUCAUGAUCCCCCAGCAAGUCCUGGAGAUGACCUCGAAAUGAGGGGUGGGGGUUGGCUGGGUAUUUUUGGGGGCAAAUCCCCCGUGGCAGCACAGGGCUGUCCUGGCCCUGCCGCACCACGCAGGGGCACCCACAGCCAAUGCCAGAACUCUUUCCAAAUCCCCACAUUCAGCUAUUUUUUCUGCCCCCCCCCC
Molecule: long non-coding RNA, 1074 nt
Filed under: Calidris pugnax (ruff)
Lineage: Eukaryota; Metazoa; Chordata; Aves; Charadriiformes; Scolopacidae
Description: lncRNA (ENSCPUG00000011511.1)
Source: RNAcentral